GUGGUGGCAGCCUCGGAGCCUCGCUGCCGAUCUGUGCUUUCUCCUUCUCCUCCUUUGCCCAGUCUCAGCAGAGGCUGACUCAUUUCAUUAGUUUCCCAAGAAUGGAAUUUUAUCUUUGUUGAGACUUUUUGUUACGUUUGUUUUCCAUUAAUUUCACUUCUACUCUUCUUGUCUUUCUUCUACUUCCUUUGUGUUUAUUUUCGUGAAUUUUUCUACCUUCAUGAGAAGGAUGCUUUGUUUACUGGUUUCCCCUUAAGUAUUGUUUCAUCUGGGCCGGCACCGCGGCUCACUAGGCUAAUCCUCCGCCUGCGGCGCCGGCACCGCAGGUUCUAGUCCCGGUCGGGGCACCGGAUUCUGUCCCGGUUGCCCUCUUCCAGUCCAGCUCUCCGCUGUGGCCUGGGAAGGCAGUGGAGGAUGGCCCAGGUCCUUGGGCCCUGCACCCCAUGGGAGACCAGGAUAAGUACCUGGCUCCUGGCUUCGGAUCAGCACGGUGCGCUGGCCGCAGCGCGCUGGCUACAGUGGCCAUUGGGGGGUGAACCAACGGUAAAGCAAGACCUUUCUCUCUUUCUCUCUCUCUCACUGUCUACUCUACCUGUCAAAAAAAAAAAAAAAGUAUUGUUUCAUCUGUAUCCCACACAUGUUGCUAUGUAAUACUUCUAUUAGUUUUUCAGCAAGUUUUGUCUGGUUUGACCAUAAGUUCCUUGGUCUAUAUAUUUCUGAAUUUCCACUCCUCUGGGAAUUUUCUAGUUAUCAUCCUACUCUUGAGUUCAAGCAUAAUUGCAUUGUGAUCAGAAAAACCAGCUGCGUGAGCUGAAUCUUGUGGAAGACUGGAAGCUUGCAUUACAGCCUGCAUGUCUGUCUCCUCAGCUCCUCUGAGCCAGGACCAUGGGCCAAUGAUGUCUCUGCCCAUUGUAUUCAGGUGCUCACAGUAGGAAGGAGAGCUGAAAAUGGUGAGGAAGGGAAGGGGCAGGGUGUUUCCUGGCUGGCUUUAUUCGAAUAGCUGGUGAGUUUUUGCGGGCCAGUACUUGUCAAUGCAGGUGAAACAUCUGGCUGGAAUGUCUGCCUCGUGCUGUGCCCAAGUGAUGACGAGAUCAGGGUGGAGAAGUCAGCUCAGGCUCCAUGCACGUGCCCAAGCCGACGGCAGGGACUCAGGUCAUUCUGGAAUCCUGUGACCUCCGCUCCCUAGAGAAAGUCGGAAUAAAGGAGGGAAGGAAAACAUUUGCCCUGGUGAAAGUGAUUACAGACGUUAAGAGAGAAUGCUUAUGGAGAACACAGUAAAAAUCUGACAGGUAUAUAGGCACGUCUAUGUGACACUCGCACCUUUCUCCUCCAUCCUCUUCACCAAAGCCCUGACCAACAGGUAGACAUACUAUUAGCCCCACUUUACAGAUGAGGAAAGUGAGAUUUGUGGAGGUUAAAUGACUUGCAUGGCCACACAUAGCUGUAAAUAGGCAAUGGCAAAAAUUGAAUCUCAGCUGUUGGCAUUAACCCACAAGCCUUAAACCAUUCUAUCUCCUGUGAAUUUCAGCACCUUCUCUCUGUAGCUUUUGCAGGAAAACAACUGAAAAAUGGCAGAACAAUAGUAGUUGUUGGGAGGAUUUAACUUCAGCUGUGUUACUAAUUAUUUAUAUAAUCCCAGCAGGGUCACUAAACCUCCAUGAGCCUUAUUUCACUAACCUGUAAAAUGGUAAUAAAACUCUAUGUCUUGCUAUCACUCAGGAUUAUAUUGAAGAGGUUCACAUGGAGAUUUAAAUGAAAGAAAGAUCUAAAUGUGUCAUGAUUAAGGUGGUUGUUGUAGGAGGUGAUAUUGUCUAGGAAAAAGGGCAUUGGCCACAGUCUGGGGCUGGGCUUGAAUUUGUCACUCUAGCGAAAUCCUUUGACUCUCAAGUAUUUCAUAUAUAAAAUGGGGAUUCUGCAGCCUGCCAUAGUUUUGAAUAAGGAACAUACACUUUAGAAUUCAAGUGUGGUGGUUGACAGUGUUCAACUCAAGCAAGAGCACCUCUUACCUAAAA
Non-coding RNA from Oryctolagus cuniculus (rabbit), 2012 nucleotides. Lineage: Eukaryota; Metazoa; Chordata; Mammalia; Lagomorpha; Leporidae. The record is from RefSeq and is a predicted model, not a curated record.